Molecule: ribosomal RNA, 440 nt
Filed under: uncultured bacterium
Lineage: Bacteria
Description: partial 16S ribosomal RNA
Rfam family: Bacterial small subunit ribosomal RNA
Source: RNAcentral
CCUACGGGAGGCAGCAGUGGGGGAUAUUGCACAAUGGGGGGAACCCUGAUGCAGCGACGCCGCGUGUGGGAAGACGGUCCUCUGGAUUGUACACCACUGUCCCCAGGGACGAAAAUGACGGUACCUGGGGAGGCAGCUCCGGCUAACUACGUGCCAGCAGCCGCGGUAAUACGUAGGGAGCGAGCGUUGUCCGGAAUUACUGGGGGUAAAGGGAGCGUAGGCGGGGAGGCAAGUUGGGUGUCAAAACUACCGGCUCAACUGGUAGUCGCACUCAAAACUGCAGCUCUUGAGUGAAGUAGAGGCAGGCGGAAUUCCUAGUGUAGCGGUGAAAUGCGUAGAUAUUAGGAGGAACACCAGUGGCGAAGGCGGCCUGCUGGGCUUUGACUGACGCUGAGGCUCGAAAGUGUGGGGAGCAAACAGGAGUAGAUACCCCAGUAGUC